GACGAACGCUGGCGGCGUGCUUAACACAUGCAAGUCGAACGCUGAACCCGCUUCGGUGGGGGAUGAGUGGCGAACGGGUGAGUAACACGUGGGCAACCUGCCCCCGGCUCUGGGAUAACUCCAAGAAAUUGGGGCUAAUACCGGAUGUGACCGCUGGCCGCAUGGUCUGGUGGUGGAAAGGGUUUCCGGCUGGGGAUGGGCCCGCGGCCUAUCAGCUUGUUGGUGGGGUAGUGGCCUACCAAGGCGACGACGGGUAGCCGGCCUGAGAGGGUGACCGGCCACACUGGGACUGAGACACGGCCCAGACUCCUACGGGAGGCAGCAGUGGGGAAUAUUGCGCAAUGGGCGGAAGCCUGACGCAGCGACGCCGCGUGGGGGAUGACGGCCUUCGGGUUGUAAACCUCUUUCAGCAGGGGCGAAGCGCAAGUGACGGUACCUGCAGAAGAAGCACCGGCCAACUACGUG
RNAcentral lists this ribosomal RNA (465 nucleotides) under uncultured bacterium. RNAcentral's name for it is "partial 16S ribosomal RNA". It matches the Rfam family "Bacterial small subunit ribosomal RNA", at positions 28 to 507 of the family's 1533-position model. The record is from RNAcentral.